RNAcentral lists this ribosomal RNA (909 nucleotides) under uncultured Bacteroidota bacterium. Its description in RNAcentral is "bacterial SSU rRNA". It matches the Rfam family "Bacterial small subunit ribosomal RNA", at positions 18 to 917 of the family's 1533-position model. Lineage: Bacteria; Pseudomonadati; Bacteroidota. The record is from RNAcentral.
UAUGGCUCAGGAUGAACGCUAGCUACAGGCUUAACACAUGCAAGUCGAGGGGAAACGACAUCGAAAGCUUGCUUUUGAUGGGCGUCGACCGGCGCACGGGUGAGUAACGCGUAUCCAACCUGCCCACCACUUGGGGAUAACCUUGCGAAAGUAAGACUAAUACCCAAUGACGUCUCUAGAAGACAUCUGAAAGAGAUUAAAGAUUUAUCGGUGAUGGAUGGGGAUGCGUCUGAUUAGCUUGUUGGCGGGGUAACGGCCCACCAAGGCAACGAUCAGUAGGGGUUCUGAGAGGAAGGUCCCCCACAUUGGAACUGAGACACGGUCCAAACUCCUACGGGAGGCAGCAGUGAGGAAUAUUGGUCAAUGGACGAGAGUCUGAACCAGCCAAGUAGCGUGCAGGAUGACGGCCCUAUGGGUUGUAAACUGCUUUUAUAAGGGAAUAAAGUGAGUCUCGUGAGACUUUUUGCAUGUACCUUAUGAAUAAGGACCGGCUAAUUCCGUGCCAGCAGCCGCGGUAAUACGGAAGGUCCGGGCGUUAUCCGGAUUUAUUGGGUUUAAAGGGAGCGUAGGCCGGAGAUUAAGCGUGUUGUGAAAUGUAGACGCUCAACGUCUGCACUGCAGCGCGAACUGGUUUCCUUGAGUACGCACAAAGUGGGCGGAAUUCGUGGUGUAGCGGUGAAAUGCUUAGAUAUCACGAAGAACUCCGAUUGCGAAGGCAGCUCACUGGAGCGCAACUGACGCUGAAGCUCGAAAGUGCGGGUAUCGAACAGGAUUAGAUACCCUGGUAGUCCGCACGGUAAACGAUGGAUGCCCGCUGUUGGUCUGAAUAGGUCAGCGGCCAAGCGAAAGCAUUAAGCAUCCCACCUGGGGAGUACGCCGGCAACGGAGCAACUCAAAUGAAUUGACGGA